AGGUCCAAAAUUGGGCAUAACCAUUCUUGCCAUCGAUUUCUGAAACCCCCAGCCAGCCUGCCAAUCUUAUACGAGGUAGACUUGCACAGAUCCCACUUUUUUCAGUCGAAAUGGACAUAAACACCCUCGCCCAGCAUGCCUUUGUCAAAAACCUAACAAAUUUCAGAGCUACGAGUUGGAGGAAGUGGACAUUUCACUUCUUUUGUAUCCAUGCCCUCCACAUCCAAGAGAUUCUCAUUACCCUUUGAAUCUAUGGUCCCUGGAUUCAUCUUCUGUACCUCCU
This 283-nucleotide unclassified non-coding RNA is filed under the name Hevea brasiliensis (rubber tree). The record is from RNAcentral. Lineage: Eukaryota; Viridiplantae; Streptophyta; Magnoliopsida; Malpighiales; Euphorbiaceae.